UACACGCUCCUUAGAGCCACCUCUAGAGGGCGCUAAACCCCUCAGCAGCUUUCCGGCUGUACAGUUGGAGGUGCUUGAGUCAUUGGCGUGUAAGAACAGUCUACCUGUCCCCCGGCUUAGCCGCACCACUGGCAACCUUUUUCGCUAAAGACUGGGGAUCACCCAGUGUUGCUAGCCAGGUGGACGGACAAU
Molecule: non-coding RNA, 192 nt
Organism: Nerophis lumbriciformis (worm pipefish)
Lineage: Eukaryota; Metazoa; Chordata; Actinopteri; Syngnathiformes; Syngnathidae
Source: RefSeq, a predicted model, not a curated record